CCCCUAUUUAUAGGGGAGGGACGUCCAUGCAAGUUGAUAAGCAUGGGAGAGGUGGCAAAAUGUGAUUGGCUACUUAAACCUCCUCAAGCUUCAUCCUUAUACUUAUCUCUUACUUUCCUUAGCCUUUAAGUAAUUCUGGAGUAUUUUAAUAUUAUCCAAACUCCUCCCAUGUCUUAUCCACCUUCUAGGAGCUUCCAUACCAAAUUUGGGCUCCAUUCGAUAUGUUUUGGGCCGCCUUAGGCCCACCUAAACCCAUAAGGCCCAAAACUGCACUCCAUGCACAUGCCUUUACUUCAAACAG
This 301-nucleotide long non-coding RNA is filed under the name Carica papaya (papaya). RNAcentral's name for it is "long non-coding RNA (CPAP_LNC016591)". Lineage: Eukaryota; Viridiplantae; Streptophyta; Magnoliopsida; Brassicales; Caricaceae. The record is from RNAcentral.